GGAAGCGGAAGAAAGCUGGUGUUUUCAACAGUCUUCAAAACUGGUAGGUGGCUUAAUGUCAUUGGUAGGUUCGAUUCCUACACGCUUCCGCCA
Molecule: transfer RNA, 93 nt
Filed under: Fusobacterium mortiferum
Lineage: Bacteria; Fusobacteriati; Fusobacteriota; Fusobacteriia; Fusobacteriales; Fusobacteriaceae
Also listed under: 3 other names
Description: tRNA-Sec
Rfam family: Selenocysteine transfer RNA
Source: RNAcentral